GUCCCCAGAGGAAAUAAAUGGAUUGUUGAUCUUUAUAAAAUGAAGACUUUUUUUUGUUCCCAUGCCCAGCACCAGCAGCUGCUCUCUCUCUGGACAUGAUGAACUCUGUUGCAACGUGACACAACACAGGGCCUGCCCACCUUGCCAGGGAACAAUUCCUAAUUCCCAAGAUCCCAUCCAGCCCUGCCCUCUGGCACUGGGAGCCAUUCCCUGGGUCCUGUCCCUCCAGCCCUUGGCAAUUGUCUCUCUCCAUCUUUCCUGCAGCUCCUUCAGGCCCUGCAAGGCCACCCUGAGCUCAGCCCAAAGCUUCUCCUGUGCAGGUGAGCAAUGCCAGCUGUGCCAGCCUUUCCUGCCAGCAGAGCUGCUCCAGCCCUCUGCUCCUCCUGGAGCCUCCUCUGGGCUCUGUGCAGCAGCCCCAGGUCCCUCCUGUGCUGGCCAGGCUGGGGCAGCUCUGCAGGUGGCUCUCAGCUGAGGGCAGAGGGGCACAAUCCCCUCCCCUGCUGCCCGGGCCGGGCCCAGCCCAGGGCAGGGUUGGGCUGGCGGCUCUCGGGGCCGGGCAGGGCCGGCUCUGCCCCGCGGCUCCCCCAGGGCUCUCCCGGGGCUGCUCCGGCUGCUCAGCCCCAGCCUGGAUGGAUCCCGGGGGCUGCCCUGGCCCAGGGGCAGCCCCAGCGCUCGGCCUUGGCAAAGCUCAGCAGAUUCCCAGGGAAUUCCCGCUUCUGGAGCUUAUCCAGGUCCCACUGCCCCCUCAGCUCCUUGUCAUCUGCAAAUAAAUUCAGACCAGUGAAGAAGUGGAUAUUAAGAGUUGCAGGCAGUUCCUGUGAAUGCUGAGAAGAGAUUAGAGAACAAAUACUGAUGAGAAGCAUUUCAAUAACAACCUUUCCCAUGGAGAAAUUCUUUGUGAUGUCCAGCCUGAACUUCCCCUGGCAUAACCUGGGCCUGUUUCCUUUUGUCCUGCCUCUUGUUCCCUGGGAAGAGCCCAGAUUCCACCUGGCUGUAUCCUCUAUGACUUUUUUAAAAAUUUUUUAAGCUUCAGGAACUGCAGACUGCUCCAACGCCAAUGGAAGUUCAUGAGAAAAAACCAAUUUCCUGUUUUGAACAACUGAAGUGAGCAAAGGUGGGAUUAAGGAAUGUGGAAUUCUAAGGAGCCAGAUGAAGAUGGAAGUGAUUGAAGUAUGAGGGAUGUCUUUGUGUUCCUGCUGAAGGUGGAGGGAACCCACCAACUCACACUUUAUGUGCUUUGCCUUCUUUUUGCAGCAUGGGAGUUUUUAGGGCAAAUGUGGGGAAAACAGCUGUGUAAAAUGAGAUGGGAAUUUGUAUCUGCUGGAGCUGGAAGCUCAAAACCUGAAGCCCUGAAGUUCCCAACAGAAAGAUUUGUUCACGCUGUUCACAUCCCUGGAAGGCCAUGGCAUAGUCCUGGAACAGCAGUGGAUUUUGGGAGUGUGUCUGUGUGCUUGUGUAGACAGCUGCUGCUCAUGAUGCUUCAGCCCGUGCUCCUGCUGAGCUGGAGCAGUGGAAAUAUAUAUAUUGGGUUGUUUGAAGUGUUUAACUCACCAGAGCUGCUUCCCAAAACUGAGCACAGCUGCUGUUGAGCUCUUUGUGCACGGUGUGGUGCAGCUCCCUGAGCACAGGCACCUGGUGCUGUUUUGGAAGCACCAGUGAAACCAGGACGUCCAGAGUAGCCACAGCAGAUGCAGGGUGGGUGAAUCAUCAGCUUGAUAUUUAUGCACCAAAGUGUCUCUGCUUUAGUAAUCUGAAUUGUUUCUCAAAACUCAUUCAGAACUAACUUGGGAAUGUGCAUUAGACAGGUCUGUAAAAUAUAACUCUUUAUCAGUCACCAGGUCCUGUGGCCAGUUCUGGGCCCUUGUGGAAAGAGAGCCCUGGAGGGGCCGGAGCGUGGCCAGGGAAGGGAAUGAGCUGGGGAAGGGGCUGGAGCCCCAGGAGGGGCUGAGGGAGCUGGGAAGGGGCUCAGCCUGGAGAAAAGGAGGCUCAGGGGGGCCCUUCUGGCUCUGCACAACUCCUGCCAGGAGGGGACAGCCGGGGGGGUCGGGCUGUGCUCCCAGGGAACAGGGACAGGAGGAGAGGGAACGGCCUCAGGCUGGGCCAGGGCAGGCUCAGGGUGGACAGCAGCAGGAAUUUCUGCAUGGAAAGGGUGCUCAGGCCUUGGCAGGGGCUGCCCAGGGAGGUUUGGAGUGCCCAUCCCUGGAGGUGUCCC
Molecule: long non-coding RNA, 2212 nt
Organism: Vidua macroura (Pin-tailed whydah)
Lineage: Eukaryota; Metazoa; Chordata; Aves; Passeriformes; Viduidae
Exons: 6
Source: RefSeq, a predicted model, not a curated record